AUGCACCCUCUGUAUGGCAGCCAUUCCUUUAGUGACAAAAGUAGUAUCUCUGAGAAUCUUCCACAGAAGCCUGGUGAUCAUUUAUCUGGGGCUGCAGAUGAAAAAGGAAACCAUACAGGAAAUACACAAGUAGAAGAAUCAUCUGAGAAAUGUCUUCACUUGAAGGUACUAACUUUAUAUUUAUAUCUUGAAUUAACUACAUGCUUCAUGAAAUACAUAGUAUUUAUUACAUAUCUCAUUUCAAACCCCAUUCAGCCUGCCAUUGAAAGGAAACAUCCCGUUCAGAAAAAAGCAGAGUAGCAAAGGGAGAUUUAUGGACAUGCAACUCAGGUAAAUUUUGCAAUAUAGAUCACUCUGGAAAGUACAGUACAUUA
Molecule: long non-coding RNA, 374 nt
Filed under: Fukomys damarensis (Damara mole-rat)
Lineage: Eukaryota; Metazoa; Chordata; Mammalia; Rodentia; Bathyergidae
Description: lncRNA (ENSFDAG00000027542.1)
Source: RNAcentral